UUUAUGGAGAGUUUGAUCCUGGCUCAGGAUGAACGCUGGCGGCGUGCCUAAUACAUGCAAGUCGAGCGAACGGACGAGAAGCUUGCUUCUCUGAUGUUAGCGGCGGACGGGUGAGUAACACGUGGAUAACCUACCUAUAAGACUGGGAUAACUUCGGGAAACCGGAGCUAAUACCGGAUAAUAUUUUGAACCGCAUGGUUCAAAAGUGAAAGACGGUCUUGCUGUCACUUAUAGAUGGAUCCGCGCUGCAUUAGCUAGUUGGUAAGGUAACGGCUUACCAAGGCAACGAUGCAUAGCCGACCUGAGAGGGUGAUCGGCCACACUGGAACUGAGACACGGUCCAGACUCCUACGGGAGGCAGCAGUAGGGAAUCUUCCGCAAUGGGCGAAAGCCUGACGGAGCAACGCCGCGUGAGUGAUGAAGGUCUUCGGAUCGUAAAACUCUGUUAUUAGGGAAGAACAUAUGUGUAAGUAACUGUGCACAUCUUGACGGUACCUAAUCAGAAAGCCACGGCUAACUACGUGCCAGCAGCCGCGGUAAUACGUAGGUGGCAAGCGUUAUCCGGAAUUAUUGGGCGUAAAGCGCGCGUAGGCGGUUUUUUAAGUCUGAUGUGAAAGCCCACGGCUCAACCGUGGAGGGUCAUUGGAAACUGGAAAACUUGAGUGCAGAAGAGGAAAGUGGAAUUCCAUGUGUAGCGGUGAAAUGCGCAGAGAUAUGGAGGAACACCAGUGGCGAAGGCGACUUUCUGGUCUGUAACUGACGCUGAUGUGCGAAAGCGUGGGGAUCAAACAGGAUUAGAUACCCUGGUAGUCCACGCCGUAAACGAUGAGUGCUAAGUGUUAGGGGGUUUCCGCCCCUUAGUGCUGCAGCUAACGCAUUAAGCACUCCGCCUGGGGAGUACGACCGCAAGGUUGAAACUCAAAGGAAUUGACGGGGACCCGCACAAGCGGUGGAGCAUGUGGUUUAAUUCGAAGCAACGCGAAGAACCUUACCAAAUCUUGACAUCCUUUGACAACUCUAGAGAUAGAGCCUUCCCCUUCGAGGGACAAAGUGACAGGUGGUGCAUGGUUGUCGUCAGCUCGUGUCGUGAGAUGUUGGGUUAAGUCCCGCAACGAGCGCAACCCUUAAGCUUAGUUGCCAUCAUUAAGUUGGGCACUCUAAGUUGACUGCCGGUGACAAACCGGAGGAAGGUGGGGAUGACGUCAAAUCAUCAUGCCCCUUAUGAUUUGGGCUACACACGUGCUACAAUGGACAAUACAAAGGGCAGCGAAACCGCGAGGUCAAGCAAAUCCCAUAAAGUUGUUCUCAGUUCGGAUUGUAGUCUGCAACUCGACUACAUGAAGCUGGAAUCGCUAGUAAUCGUAGAUCAGCAUGCUACGGUGAAUACGUUCCCGGGUCUUGUACACACCGCCCGUCACACCACGAGAGUUUGUAACACCCGAAGCCGGUGGAGUAACCUUUUAGGAGCUAGCCGUCGAAGGUGGGACAAAUGAUUGGGGUGAAGUCGUAACAAGGUAGCCGUAUCGGAAGGUGCGGCUGGAUCACCUCCUUUCU
Molecule: ribosomal RNA, 1554 nt
Filed under: Staphylococcus aureus
Lineage: Bacteria; Bacillati; Bacillota; Bacilli; Caryophanales; Staphylococcaceae
Description: 16S ribosomal RNA
Rfam family: Bacterial small subunit ribosomal RNA
Source: RNAcentral